AAAAAAAUAAACCCUAAAUUUUCGUGCCAACAUUUGACUGUUUGUCUUAUAUGAAAUUUUUUUAUAAUUAGUAUUUUCAUUGUUAUUAGAUGAUAAAACAUGAUUAAUAUUUUAUGCGUGAUUUAUCUUUUUAAUUUUUUUUAUAAUUUUUUCAAAUAAGACGGACAGUCAAACAUUGGACGCGGAAACCAGGGUUUGUCUUUUU
Molecule: non-coding RNA, 205 nt
Organism: Oryza nivara
Lineage: Eukaryota; Viridiplantae; Streptophyta; Magnoliopsida; Poales; Poaceae
Source: Rfam